GAUGAACGCUGGCGGCGUGCCUAAUACAUGCAAGUCGAGCGAACAGACGAGGAGCUUGCUCCUCUGACGUUAGCGGCGGACGGGUGAGUAACACGUGGAUAACCUACCUAUAAGACUGGGAUAACUUCGGGAAACCGGAGCUAAUACCGGAUAAUAUAUUGAACCGCAUGGUUCAAUAGUGAAAGACGGUUUUGCUGUCACUUAUAGAUUGAUCCGCGCCGCAUUAGCUAGUUGGUAAGGUAACGGCUUACCAAGGCAACGAUGCGUAGCCGACCUGAGAGGGUGAUAGGCCACACUGGAACUGAGACACGGUCCAGACUCCUACGAGAGGCAGCAGUAGGGAAUCUUCCGCAAUGGGCGAAAGCCUGACGGAGCAACGCCGCGUGAGUGAUGAAGGUCUUCGGAUCGUAAAACUCUGUUAUUAGGGAAGAACAAAUGUGUAAGUAACUAUGCACGUCUUGACGGUACCUAAUCAGAAAGCCACGGCUAACUACGUG
Molecule: ribosomal RNA, 497 nt
Filed under: uncultured bacterium
Lineage: Bacteria
Description: partial 16S ribosomal RNA
Rfam family: Bacterial small subunit ribosomal RNA
Source: RNAcentral